This is a long non-coding RNA of Mercurialis annua (annual mercury), 377 nucleotides long. RefSeq lists it as uncharacterized. NCBI's taxonomy places the organism in Eukaryota, Viridiplantae, Streptophyta, Magnoliopsida, Malpighiales, Euphorbiaceae. The transcript is spliced from 2 exons. The record is from RefSeq and is a predicted model, not a curated record.
UCAUCUCAAAAUUUAAUGAAUCAUUCGGUAACUUGGGGUUUCUUCAUCUUUUGAUCGUUUUUGAUGAUUCUUUCACCGAUUUUCCAAGAAUCUGAUUCUCUAUCAUCCUAAGACUUCAAUUCAAGUGUUUUCUUUCAGGAUUAAUAUAUGAUGAUGUGGUCGAGCUUCCAUUCAUUGUUCCAGAAGUCUCAGUUAUGGGAGGUCUUAUUCUUCUUAGAGCUGCAGUAGUCAUGAUAAUAGAGCUAACCAGUAGCAAACGAUUUUAUUUUAUUUUAUUUUAUGCUAUGACAUAAUGAUGUAUUUUGGAAAAGUGAAUUAUCCAGAAAUUUAAUAUAUGGUUAACUGGUAUUUUAUGCAGAGUGGUUUGUGUGUUUUCA